CUACGGGACGCUGCAGUUAGGAAUAUUGGACAAUGGGCGCAAGCCUGAUCCAGCCAUGCCGCGUGAGUGAUGAAGGCCUUCGGGUUGUAAAACUCUUUAGCCGAUGAUUAUAAUGACUGUAGUCGGAAAAUAAGCCCCGGCUAACUUCGUGCCAGCAGCCGCGGUAAUACGAAGGGGGCGAGCGUUAUUCGGAAUCACUGGGCGUAAAGCGUGCGUAGGCGGUUUAGUAAGUUAGGAGUGAAAGCCCAGGGCUUAACCUUGGAAUUGCUCUUAAAACUACUAGACUUGAAUCUCGGAGAGGAUAGCGGAAUUUCCAGUGUAGCAGUGAAAUGCGUAGAUAUUGGAAGGAACACCAGUGGCGUAAGCGGCUAUCUGGACGAGUAUUGACGCUGAGGCACGAAAGCGUGGGGAUCAAACAGGAUUAGAUACCCCUGUAGUC
This 439-nucleotide ribosomal RNA is filed under the name uncultured bacterium. RNAcentral describes it as "partial 16S ribosomal RNA". It matches the Rfam family "Bacterial small subunit ribosomal RNA", at positions 339 to 795 of the family's 1533-position model. The record is from RNAcentral.